RNAcentral lists this unclassified non-coding RNA (181 nucleotides) under uncultured Lecanicillium. RNAcentral describes it as "sequence contains ITS1". The record is from RNAcentral. Lineage: Eukaryota; Fungi; Ascomycota; Sordariomycetes; Hypocreales; Cordycipitaceae.
CUGGACUUACAACUCCAAACCCAUAUGUGAACAUACCCUCAGUUGCUUCGGCGGACCCGCCCCGGCGUCCGGACCGACCUCGCGUCGUCCGCGGCCCGGAUCCAGGCGGCCGCCGGAGACCCCAAACUCUUUGUAUUUACAGUAUCUUCUGAAUCCGCCGCAAGGCAAAACAAAUGAAUCA